UACAGAGGUCUCAAGCGUUGUUCGGAUUCAUUGGGCGUAAAGGGUGCGUAGGUGGCGGGGUAAGUCAGGUGUGAAAUCUCGGGGCUCAACCUCGAAACUGCACUUGAUACUGCCCUGCUCGAGUACUGGAGAGGAGAUUGGAAUUUACGGUGUAGCAGUGAAAUGCGUAGAUAUCGUAAGGAAGACCAGUGGCGAAGGCGAAUCUCUGGACAGUUACUGACACUGAGGCACGAAGGCCAGGGGAGCAAACGGG
RNAcentral lists this ribosomal RNA (253 nucleotides) under uncultured bacterium. RNAcentral's name for it is "partial 16S ribosomal RNA". It matches the Rfam family "Bacterial small subunit ribosomal RNA", at positions 524 to 776 of the family's 1533-position model. The record is from RNAcentral.